UACGUAGUUGGCAAGCGUUGUCCGGAUUUAUUGGGCGUAAAGCGAGCGCAGGCGGUUCCUUAAGUCUGAUGUGAAAGCCCACGGCUCAACCGUGGAAGGUCAUUGGAAACUGGGGAACUUGAGUGCAGAAGAGGAGAGUGGAAUUCCAUGUGUAGCGGUGAAAUGCGUAGAUAUAUGGAGGAACACCAGUGGCGAAGGCGACUCUCUGGUCUGUAACUGACGCUGAGUCACGAAAGCGUGGGUAGCAAACAGGAUUAGA
This 259-nucleotide ribosomal RNA is filed under the name uncultured prokaryote. RNAcentral's name for it is "partial 16S ribosomal RNA". It matches the Rfam family "Bacterial small subunit ribosomal RNA", at positions 524 to 782 of the family's 1533-position model. The record is from RNAcentral.